This 217-nucleotide unclassified non-coding RNA is filed under the name soil metagenome. RNAcentral describes it as "partial contains 5.8S ribosomal RNA, internal transcribed spacer 2, and large subunit ribosomal RNA". The record is from RNAcentral.
AACAUCGCGCACCUGCGGGAACCUGCGGAGGGAUCAUUACAGAGUUCAUGCCCUCACGGGUAGAUCUCCCACCCUUGAAUACUAUACCUUUGUUGCUUUGGCGGGCCGCUUUGGCUACUGGCUCUGGCUAGUAAGUGCCCGCCAAAGAACCCCAAAACUCUGAAUAUUAGUGUCGUCUGAGUACUAUAUAAUAGUUAAAACUUUCAACAAUGGAUCU